CCCAAACUUUUUCGCCCUAGAAACUUCCGCCUCAACAACAACAAAAUACUCUGUGAGACACUUCUUCUUCUUUUUCACCGCUUCUUCUUCAUUAAUCCUUCUCAGAGAGACCAAGUCCAUUUAGAACCUUAAAAGUUUCAAAUCCAAAAGUUAUUUUGAAUUUGGGGGUAAGAAAACAGAUGUAAACAGGUGCAAUUUUUGUUCUCAUCUCUAUCGUGUUCUCUGUUGCGAGUUCAAACAGGUUCAUCAGCUGCACUUGAAAGUUAAUACUUUUCUUUGGAUAAAUCUUGGAUGAGAAAGCCAAGGAACACCAUAGAAUAUUUAUUUGGUUUAAAUCAGUUUUUAGAUUUUGCAUUUGCUUCAUUUCAACGCACAUGACAGACAACUCCUUGCAUUCAGCCGACUCCUUUUCAGGCGCCAUCACUACCAACUCCUUCAUUUCAACGCACAAGACAACAAAUCGCUUCAUUUCAGGCCACAACACUACCAGCUCCUUCAUUUCAGGCCACGGGACAGACAACUCCUUCAUUUCAACCUCCAAUUAAUCCCACACCAGCACAAGCAACAUCCAAUAAGCGUGCUAAACGUGAGUCUUCACAUCAUUGGACUGUCGAUGGAAUAGGACAAAAUUGAGCUAGCAUUGAGUGAAAGUACAGUGGAUGAGUCUGAAAUUUCUCCAAAUGAUGUUGUUGGUAAUGUGCUAGACAAAGAGCAUCCUGGAAGGGUGAGAUGUUUGGGAUUAGGAGCUACUCCAAGCAAUACUUUCAGAGAGACAAAUCUUUGUCCUGGUAAUAUUAGAAUUGUGAGUAAUAAUGUUGGACGUUCUUCUUCUGGAUGCCAAGAGAAGUACAAUCAAUUGAUGAAUACUCUCAAAGCAUACAUGAUAAUGAAGAAGGGUCAAUACCAGAACAAUUUGCUGGGAUCUUUGCUUCUAUUCCUACAACGCCAAGUGAUGCAGCUAGUGGACCCGUUUCACCGACGGAUGCAAGAAGAUGCGAUAAUAAUCCCAGUGACAACCAUUGAGAUUCAUUUUAAUUGAAGUGGAUGUAUUAGGACAAUGUAAUAGCUGACUAAUAUAGACGGUUAACUAUGUUCUAAUUUAUCUUGAUGACAUAUGAUACUACUCUGUCAUGGUAUUUUUCACGGUUAAUGAAAUGUUGAUAUUUCUUAAUUUUAA
This is a long non-coding RNA of Nicotiana tabacum (common tobacco), 1177 nucleotides long. RefSeq lists it as uncharacterized. NCBI's taxonomy places the organism in Eukaryota, Viridiplantae, Streptophyta, Magnoliopsida, Solanales, Solanaceae. The record is from RefSeq and is a predicted model, not a curated record.